This 7047-nucleotide long non-coding RNA is filed under the name Homo sapiens (human). RNAcentral's name for it is "non-protein coding FTX:4". Lineage: Eukaryota; Metazoa; Chordata; Mammalia; Primates; Hominidae. The record is from RNAcentral.
UCCUUUUCUGGCAUCAGCGUUGCGGCUCGAGGCAAAGCUGGUCCUGUGCCUGCUGUCCAUUGCCGCUAAGGCCUGCUGCUGCCAUUCAGGCGUGUCUCUCUCUCUCUCUCUCUUUCAUGCCGCUCUCUCCACCCCAUCUUGGGACGGCCAGCUCUAAGAAUUCCUGCUACGACACUGAAUUCAACCAGGAGGCAUGCGCAAGGCUUGAAUGGCGUCGGGGUUGGAGGGUUGGAAGGUCGGGAAGUGAAGGACUCGCAGGCAUAUUUAACAACGCAAAGUUGCUAGGAGUUGGUACCAGCGUUUGGGAGGUAGAGGUGGCGCUCAUGCAUAUUUGAGACAACAUCUGGAUGGUUGGGGAGAACGGUAAGCUGUCUUUGCUUGGCCAUCUUGGGCUAGCAGGCCUUGCAGAGAACUACCUUUUUAGCUGAGUGAAGGGAUCAACCUGAGUUGGAGUUCUCCUAUGCUGUGGCCAGAUCCACUAGAAAUUAACCCAGAAUCUUAGCCUCUCAGUGGCCUAUCGAGGUGAUGCCACACUCAAUCAGAAACUAUGCUACUGCUGAAGAGGUAUAUUGAGCCCUGCCUGGUUAACCUCCAGUGAGGUUAUUAGAGAAUUGGGAGAGGCUCAAAUCAGCAUCCUGCACCUAGUUAUCAAACCAUUGUGAAGUCUUGAGAUUCCUGGAUGGCCAGAAAACUUGUCAUUGGUCAAGAGCAACAUUAAGAUCUGCCUGUUACUCAUACUGAUGCUUCCUGCCCAGCAAGUUCAUCAGAGGGCGAGGAUGAAUUACGGUUGCCAUGAAUGUCCUUGUGAGGCAGUUGGGAAGCCUUGAGGCUGGAUUGUGAAGGAUAUUUGAAAAGUAUUUUAGAGUCCACCAGAUCAUCCAUGUGAGUGACCAUGCAGCAAAAGAAGGAGGGUCCUCUCAGUGAUUAAGGUAAGAUUAUGAAGUAUUAAUUCUUCCACUGAUAUCUCAAAAGGUGAUCUGGACAAAGGAACAGGUAUCUCAGUCAACCUCGAAUACCUGGGAUUACAGGCACCAGCCACCAUGCCUGGCUAAUUUUUGUAUUUUUAGUAGAGAUGGGGUUUCACCAAAUUGGCCAGCCUGGUCUCGAACUCCUGACAUCAGGUCAUCCUCCCGCCUCGGCCUCCCAAAGUGCUGAGAUUACAAGCAUGAGCCAUUGCGCCCAGCCCUCCAUCUCAUAUUUUUAGCCUAUUUAUAGGUUCUGCUUACUUAUGGCUUCAUCUUCCUCAUAAGUUUUGCUUGCUUAUGACCCUCUUGACCUCACCUCUGCAUUGUGUUGGCUUGCUGUGUAUCCUUUCAGCUUCAGUUUCCUUUGCGAACUGUGAUUACUUUUAAUAGCUCGAUUCCAAUUCCUGAAAAGACAAAUUUACUAGGCCUGUUGUAUCCCAGUUUAGUUAAGAUAUUUAUAUACCCACAGCAACAGUUUGUGGAUCUUCACUUUUGUUUUCUGCCAUUAAUAUGAUGAUUACCCUGUUUUGCUGCUUUUACUUUGCUUGUUUCUUAUAGCUUAGCUUAUAAAGUAUCCAUUAACAACUGACUGUUGGACUUCUCUCUCUUUGUUUCAAGGACUGCAAUUGCAAAUGCCUGUAGGAUCCAGAUGCCAUAAAUGUAUAAGAUGGUUCUGGUGUUUUCUUCUUUUCUUGAAACACUGUCUUGUGUGUGUGAGGGGGGUGAUCUUUUGUUCAGUCAUUUUUGAUAGAGACAUUAGAAGAGCGAUUUCUUUAAAAUAUAAACAAGGGUGCAAAUGGGAUGGUAAAGGGCAACUGACGCUACUAGGAGGAUAGUAGGGAGUGUUUGACAUUGUGUGUAAUUGGGACAUACAUAUUUCCUCCAAAAGGGAAGACUUUAGUACUUCUGCUGAUUGUUGCCUAGUGGAAAUGUCUGCCUAAGAUUACCAGUUGUCUACAAAAAGCCUGAUUGGCUUCAGGUUUUUUUUUUUUUAAUUUAGAUAUGAUUUAACGUAUAUGAUUUCUCAUGUGGUACAAAACAUGGUUAUGUACCAUUACCUCUUCAACUCAGCCAGUGGCUUGGCAGUUUCCCUUGUGCAGUGUUUAAAACUGGGCCACAGUUUUGAAUGCAGUUGUGGAUAUUAAAAUGAAAUAGAUUAGGAAAGAAUAGAUUAAGAUAGAAUACAGAUAAGAAAAUAAGAAAAUAUCAGCCUUCAUCUGGCAAAGAAAAUACCAGCCUUCAUCUGGCAAAGGGCAUCAUCAGGCAUCACCAGGAGGUGCUCUGUAUCCAUAGGUUCCCUAUCUGUGGGUUCCACCACCACUGAUAAAAAAUAUUUGGAAAAAAAUACAACAAUGCAAAAUAAUACAAAUUUUAAAAAAUACAAUAUAUUUAUGUGGUGUUUACAUUGUAUUCGUUAUUAUAAGUAAUCUAGAGAUGAUUUAAAGGGACGGGAAGAUAUAUGUAGGUUAUAUGUAAAUAUACCAUUUUAUAUAAGGAACGUGUAUAUCCAUGGAUUUUAGAAUCUGUAGGGAUUCCUGGAACCAGUCUUCCAUGGAUACCGAGGGAUGACUGUAUUGUUCUGUGAAAUUUUUGUCCCAGCUACAUAUUUGUAUGUAUGUAUGUUUUUGGUCCGGUAUAAUUGUAUAAUAUUUCUUACUAUGGGUUAAACAACUUUAUAAGACAUUGUGAGGAACCUGGUAUCCUCUGGACUAGAUCAUUCCCGUAGACAGUUCCAUUGUGCACACAUAGUAUUUCGUUAAAAUCAGGUGACUGUUUAAAAAUUAAAAAGAUUUUAGAUAAAAAUCUAGAUUUUUACUUUCUCCUGAAAUAUCAGAAGAUGGGGUCUAAAUUCACACUGAGGCCAAGCAGUGGUAGGCUCAUUUUAAAGAAGGGCUUUCUGCUCUCUGGUUUACCCCAUUGUAUACUAAUUAGCCUGGUCUUACUUUUAUAUAUUACCUGAAUAGCCACUUAGGGCAUUUUGAACACGUGGCUUGCAUUGCUUUGUCUUUUUGAAAUCCGCUGUGGCAGGCCCAAACCUUGCCUUUGGUGGGCUUAAGUAAGGUCUGGUUUCCAGUACAAAGGCAAAGGCAAAUGAGGAUUAUUAGUAUUCCAUUUUGCCCUAUGGAUAUUCUCAGUGCUUUCUACUGGAAACUCACAACCAAUUCUGAAUAUGCCACAUACUGUGUGAUUUGCCCUUGCUGUCCAACCCUGUUCUUGCUGCCAUUUAAAAAUAAUCAGGCCAGGUGUGGUGGCUCAUUUCUGUAAUCCCAGCACUUUGGGAGGCCAAGGUGGGUGGAUCAUUUGAGCUCUGGAGUUCGAGACCAGCCAGGGCCACAUAGCAAGACCUCGUCUGUUUCAUCCUUCAGAUUAAGGUGCUCCAAUAUAAUCCAUACCACAGCAAACAAAAUCCUGAAGAAUUCUGCUGCCAAUCAUCUUGCCUCUUAACCUCAAUAUAACAAGAACAUACAUAAAAGAGAUUACCGAUUUAGUAAAUGCUAUCAUCUCAUACCCCAUUCACACCACUGGCCUGUGAUAUUCUUCCCCUGGGAGAGAUGUCAAGAUUUAAUGAGAUUCUAUCAUAACCUGUAGAAAAAAUGAGCAACAUGGAAACAUUCCAAUUCCAGUCUUAGGUGAGUUCCAAUGAAAUUACCUGAAGAACUGAACUAGUGCUUUUAGUUAAGGGGAAAAGUGCCCUAGCUUUUAAAAAAUAUGUCUAUAAAUCUAGUUUUAAAAACAUAGCAAUUGGCUGCAUGUGGUGGCUCAUGCCUAUAAUCUCAGCAUUUUGAGAGGCCGAGGUGAGAGGACUGCUUAAACCCAGGAGUUCAAGACCAGCCUGAACAAAAUAGGGAGACCCCCAUCUCUACAAAAAUAAUUUUAAAAAGCUGGGCAUGGUGGCAUAUACCUGUGGUUCCAGGUACCUGGAGGGCUGACGUAGGAGGAUUGCCUGAGCCCAGCAGGCCAAAGCUACAGUGAGCUGUGAUUGUGCCACUGCACUCCAGCCUGGGCGAGGAGAGCAAGACUCUGUCUCAAAAAUAAAUACAUAAAAUACAGCGUCCAAAAGUGUGUCAUCUUCUUUCUCUUCACAAUUUUAUAAUAAGGGGGUAAAAUGCCUGUGAGUCUAUUCAUUAUGGAAAAUAAAAAAGAAACAACCAUUUAAGGCUGAGGCAUUUUGGUUUUCUGCUGGCUUUUAGAUUAUUAACUGCAUUAAGCCCCUCACUACAACUUCACCAGUAUCCUAGAAACAAUUUGGGUUUCCUUUUAGGCAGGGACAGGAAGUAUUCAAAGGACAGACAUAUGGACAGAGUUAGGCCCUUCAGGGUUGAAGUCUGUGGUUUCUUGUGUCUCAAGACUCAAUGUCUUGAGAAGUUGGUGGACCCUGUCCUCCAUCCAAGAAGUGCUGCCAAGGAAACCAGGGGACCUAGCAAAGAGUCAGGAGAAAAUGGCCAAAGGAAUUCUGACAUUCCAUACCUGAAUGAACUGUUUUCGUGAGUGCUUUGAUCACCCUAUCCCCUAUCAAGGCGCUGAACAGGUGGCCCGCAGGAAAUCUGCUGUCGCAAGAGGAGGGCUUUGACUUACUUCCCCUAAUUGUUGAGUAAAAAGUGAUUCUCUUAAUUUCUGUAUUCUGUUUUUCAUAUCACCAGUAGAAGGGUCCUGUGGAUCUAAAUAGAGCACAUUUUAAGGCUACAGAGUAGUAGAAAUUGAUGUUUAGACAAGGCAGCUUGUUCAAAAUCUGAAAGGCACACCCAGAAGCUUUCUCUAAACAUUUUGGCUCCCAUUAAAAAAAAAAAAAAAACAAGCUUCCAAGUUUGCUGGAGCCAUGUUUUCUCUAAUGUCCCCACAGAACAGUGGUUGGUAGGAUGGCGGAGACAUGGACUUCAGAGAGUUCUUGGUAGAAGACUCAAAGAGCCACCUGUCAUGAGACAUCCCACUUCCUUCCCCAGGUUACUUCCAAGACUGAGCAGCCAGGUUUUUGGUAGAUGAGAACAAAUGUUUCUUCCUGAAGCCCUGGGGCUUCAGGUAGGAAGAAGGACUGCUAUACUUGUUCUCACCCUUGGCUUCUGGCUGCUCCAGUUAAACAUGGUUCCCAUUGAUACAGACAUUAGAGUGGGAAAGGACUUCGUUCAUAGACCGAAGACCCUCAAAGGAAAGUCCUUCCAUUUUGGGAAGGGUGACAUUGAUUUCGUUUAGCUGCUUAAGAUAUGUACUUGCUGUUGUCUUGUGAGACAUGACAUCUGAAGCUGAAGAGGAGUCCCUCUCAUUGUUGUCAUUGUCCCACCGGGACUGAAAGUCUCCCAGUUGAGGCAGCAUUUUAGCUUUGAUGUCUACAGGGCAAUCAUGGAUCAGGAAAUUUCUGCAAAUUAGACUUGGAAAACAAGGUCUUGAUCCUUCUUGUCUUUGGACGAAGACUAAUCAUCACUUUUGACUGAAGGUGUAGUGCUGGAGACUAUGUUGGAGGCAGCACCUGAUGCACUAUCCAUAUUCUUCCCCUUGAUCUUGUCUUAAAGUUUUCCAAAUGGAUUCCGAGGCUUGUCUUUGAUGAAAAGGUCAAACAUACUGGCAGUCAUGUUGUUUCUCAUAAGCUGGAUGUCAACCUCAAUUUCUCCUCUUUAUCCUUCUCUCCUGGUUUGGAUUUCAAGGUAUACCACCGCAUCUUCCUGCUCCCCUAGUCUGGGUGCAGGUCCUGCAGGUACACCUCGGCGAAGCCCAAGUACAGUAGCAGCAGCACCUCAAAGGUGGCCUCCUCCUCUGACACUGAGGUGGCAUACUUCUCCUUACCCACCUGAAUCACCGAGUACAUGUUGCUUGUACCGUCAGGCUCUUGGUUCUUGGCCCCUGGCCCUAUGCCUGCAACACUGUCACCUGCACGUGGAUUGGGAACCACAUAGCCCCCGGACCUGCUAAGGCCAUUAAGGACAGGAUGGUGAUGCCUCGGCUGACUGACGUGAGAAGAUUGUCAUGACCCAUGGCCUCUACUGCUGUCCUACCAACAGAAACUUCAUAAUGUUGUGCAGGCGUUACCACUACCUAGUUCCAGAACAUUGCCAUCACCCCCAAAAUAAAUCUUGCAUUCAUUAAGCAGUCACCCCUAUUUUCCCCCAUCCCUGUCAACCACUGAUUUAUGUUCUGUCUCUAUGGAUUCCCCUGUUCCGGAUAAUUCACGUAAAUGGAAUAACACAAUAGAUGCCUUUUAUCAUGGGUUUCUUUCACUUAGGAUGUUUUGUAGGGUAAUCCAUAUAGCAUGUAUCAGGACUUCAUUUUUUUUUUUUUUUUUUUUGAGAUGGAGUUUCAUUCUUCUUGCCCAGGCUGGAGUGCAGUGGUGCAGUCUCAGCUCACUUCAACCUCUGCCUUCUAGGUUCAAGCGAUUCUCCUGUCUUGGCUUCCCAAGUAGCCAGGAUUACAGGCGCCUGGCACCAUGCCCAGCUACUUUUUUUGUAUUUUUAGUAGAGACAGGGUUUCACCAUGUUGGCCAGGCUGGUCUCAAACUCCUGACCUCAGGUGAUCCGCCUGCCUCAGCCUCCCAACGUGCUGGGAUUACAGGCGUGAGCCACCAUGGUCAGCCUUCAUUCAUUUUCAUGGAGAAAAAUAUUUCAUUGUAUGAGUAUACCACAUUUUGUUUAUCCAUUUAUCCAUUGAUUGGUUGUUUCUACUUUUUUUUAGCUAUUAUGAAUAAUAUUGCUGUGAACAUUUGUGUACAAGGUUUUAGUGGACACAAGUUUUUAUUUUUCUUGGGUAUAUAUCUAGGAGUGGAAUUGCUGGGUCAUAUUGUAAUUCUGUUCAACUUUUUGAAGAACUUCCCAACUGUUCUCCAUGGUGGCUGUGCCAUUGUAUAUUCCUACCAGCAGUGUAUGAAGUUACAAAUUUCUCCACAUCCUGAGAACCCCUUUAUUAUUUUCUGUUUUUCUUUUUGAUUAUAGCCAUCCUAGUAGGUGUAAAGUGGUAUCUCAUUGUGAUUUUAUUUUGCAUUUCCCUAAAUGAUUAAUGAUAUUGAGCAUCUUUUCAUGUGCUUCUUGGCCACUAGUAUAUCUUCUUUGAAGAAAUGUCUAUUCAAGUCUUUGGCAGUUUCUAAAUGAGUUAUUGUCUU